UCUUCUCCCCCACCCCCAGCUCGCAAUGCCUUUCCCCGUUCCUCCUAUCGCCCCCAGCUCCCGAUCCGUUUCCCGACGCCGCUCCUCUCAUCACCGGGAACUGGCACCGCCCGACGCCAGCUGCUCCUCCUCCCGACGCCGCUCCUCCCGUCGCCGAUCCGGGGACUGGCGCCUCCCGUAGCCGCCGAUCCGUUCCAGACGCCGCACCUCCACCCGUCGCCGCUCCCCUCCUUCGACGACGCUCCCUCCUCCCGACGGCAUUCCGCGAGACCGUCCUCCCGUCGUCGUCACCCCCAGGAGAUCCUACUAUGGCCCACCGAUGAGAUCCUCCCCUGGCCUGCCUUCAGGUCAUGGAUGAAUCGAUGGCACAGCGUGGAUGAAUCGCCUACGUAUCCCCGCAUUCAAGGUGACGCCCUCCCAUUCCCGAUGCCGCUCACUCCUCCCGUUGCUGUCGAUCCUCCUCCGGCCUGCCCUCCGAUCAGGAUGGAUUCUCGGCAGAGAUUGGCCCACAGAUGCAUAUCAACCCAAGCAGGGUGGUGUUCGAGCAGCUUCUGAUUUGGUUGUCAAUCGUGUGCCCUGGUUCCGAUCGGCUCGGCCCUGUGGAUUGGAGACGACGGCCACCAGGGAUCCAAUCUCCUCCACUGUAGCUUGGGGUUCCUUCCCUGGAGCGGCAGAUUUGUUUGGAUGAGUAUUCAUUGAUGCCUACGUUUAUCUCCCUCACUUGUGGAUAGUCCGAGGACACAAGGAGCAUAUUCCGUUGGGUCUCCUGUCCUGGACUUCAAAUGCUCCUGGUGCUCCUUGAGAAGCUCAGCUUCAGGCAUGAGAGGUGCGGUGGACGCCAUGAUCUCCAUUGACAGUGUCAUCUUUCAGCAGUACCCAUCGUCACCAUUUACAUUGACAAUAUGUUUGCUUGAAACUCUUGAGCCGCAACCUGGGCUGGAAGAAACACCGGCUGGUCCACUCAUCAAACGCUAUAAUGACAAAAAAAUUGAAGACAUAGUAAAGAAUAUUAAGGAUACAAUGAAUGUCAGACAAGAAAUUGUCAAGCACAAGGCCAAGCCUCAACCCCCGAAGUAAAGAAACCACCUUCCGGAAAGCAAAAGGUUGCAGGACAACAGAUAGUGAUUCAAAUUCCAUAUGUGGAUGAUUUGCUCAAGGAAAGUGAGGUUGAUAAGGGUGAGGAGGGUAUUCUUUUGAAAGAAAUAAACAGCAAAAUUGAGUCUGAUCAAACCAAGUUGAUGGAAGAAAUUAAAAAAAUAAAGGACCUCCAGUUGCAAAAUAAUGAAGAUUUAAAGAAGAUUGUUGCGGAACAUUCAAUCUUGUCUAAGAUAUAUAAUGAGAUAAAAAACAGGGCCCAAAUGAAAGACAAAAAAAUAAAAGCGCUGAUGAGAAACAAUUGUGUAAUGCAAAUACAUGGCGUGGGGAUGAUGGAGGAUUUAUUUGUUGAGACCUUCAAACCAGGUGGUCACAUGCACGAUGACGUUUUGGAAGCUCUCAGGCUCAUAUGGAACAAAUCUUGGGAUGACCGGAUUAUGCUUUCACUUGGUGCUGUAGUAAGUGCCAAUUAGCAAUAUUACUACUACUUUCAAUGAAUUUAUGUUGUUUAGCAAUUUCACCAUGCUUUUUUUCCUAGGAACAAUUGUUAGGGAAGAAUAAAAGAUCUGGUUUUCUUGAAAGAGAAUUUAACGGCUAUGACAAACAGAAAAUACAUUUGAUUUGUACCUUUUCCAAUUCUAUUUAAUUCUAUUUGUAUUCUUAAAUUUGGCUUUUUGAUAUAAUAGUUGUUAGCUUAGAAUUCCUUGAAUGCUCAACUUUUACCUACACCUUUUACCUGCCUGUAACCUUGGAUUUUACCUGCUACACACCUACACCUUUUACCUGCCUGUAACCUUAGAUUUUACCU
Long non-coding RNA from Panicum virgatum (switchgrass), 1903 nucleotides. RefSeq lists it as uncharacterized. NCBI's taxonomy places the organism in Eukaryota, Viridiplantae, Streptophyta, Magnoliopsida, Poales, Poaceae. The record is from RefSeq and is a predicted model, not a curated record. The transcript is spliced from 7 exons.